AUUUAGGCCAAUUCAUCUUUUGGCGCCAAAUAAACAGACUUCAUUUGUGGUGUCUUGGCUCUCUCUAGUGGUAUACCGGGAGUAGUACAGCCGAAAAGAUUUAUCCUUGUGUUGAAAACUCCAUAUCCCACAAUUCAUAGCACGCCUCUACAGAGUGAACAAUGGCGGCCACCACUUCGUUUUAUAUGUCUUUUAUUCGUGUUUCUAGGUCACAAAAUAAACUUUUAAGAUAUUUUCAGGCGAGAAUGUAGGUGUGUAAACUUCAAAUAUCUGCUUGUUUUAUCAAGACAUCCCAUAUUUAGCGACAGUGCUCUGACUACGUCGGUCCUGCCUGACAGCUAGCCGGCUACCUAGCUAGCUGCCGCACUUGGCUGCAAAUGGAUAGCGAGGGGACUCUCUCUGUCGUUUCAAUCGUGGAUCAGGGAAAGCGAAGGCAGGAGCGUGAGGUGAACUGAAUUUCAGGUAAGAAGUUAUGACCUGCACUCUAUUUGGGUCAGAUAUAAACCGAGUUUAGGUGUAGUUUAUUUAGCAACAGUUCUCUUACGUGUUGCUGAUAGCCGCUGGCUAGCUA
Molecule: long non-coding RNA, 571 nt
Organism: Oreochromis aureus
Lineage: Eukaryota; Metazoa; Chordata; Actinopteri; Cichliformes; Cichlidae
Source: Ensembl